UGGCAAUGAUGACUCUUAGGACACCUUUGGAGGCUUUGUUCCUAUGAAACAACUCUCAGUCUGAGCUGU
Molecule: small nucleolar RNA, 69 nt
Organism: Hyla sarda
Lineage: Eukaryota; Metazoa; Chordata; Amphibia; Anura; Hylidae
Product: small nucleolar RNA SNORD58
Exons: 1
Source: RefSeq, a predicted model, not a curated record